CCCCUAGAUGUUCUGGGCCGCACGCGCGCUACACUGAACAGUUCAACAAGUCUUAACCUUGGCCGAUAGGUCUGGGUAAUCUUUGAACGCUGUUCGUGAUUGGGAUAGACCUUUGCAAUUAUGGGUCUUCAACGAGGAAUUCCUAGUAAACGCAAAUCAUCAGCUUGCAUUGAUUACGUCCCUGCCCUUUGUACACACCGCCCGUCGCACCUACCGAUUGAAUGGUCCGGUGAAAUCUCGGGACGGCGGCUUGGUCGCUUGCGUCCGACUGCUGAAACUUGAUUAAACCAUAUCAUUUAGAGGAAGGUGAAGUCGUAACA
RNAcentral lists this ribosomal RNA (320 nucleotides) under uncultured eukaryote. RNAcentral describes it as "partial 18S ribosomal RNA". It matches the Rfam family "Eukaryotic small subunit ribosomal RNA", at positions 1470 to 1796 of the family's 1831-position model. The record is from RNAcentral.